AAAUAAGAGGAAAAAUUUGAACUGAUUGCAACCUCUAUUCCGCUCAUUACUAUUUAGUAAGAGUUUGAAUAAAAAAAUGCUAAAGCAGUACUU
Nematostella vectensis (starlet sea anemone) is the source of this 93-nucleotide non-coding RNA. Lineage: Eukaryota; Metazoa; Cnidaria; Anthozoa; Actiniaria; Edwardsiidae. The record is from Rfam.